CAGGGUUUAGCUCAAUGGUAGAGUGAGUGUUUAGCAUGCACGAGGUCCUGGAUUCAAUUCCAGUGCCUUCA
This 71-nucleotide transfer RNA is filed under the name Camelus bactrianus (Bactrian camel). It matches the Rfam family "tRNA". Rfam says of the family: Transfer RNA (tRNA) molecules are approximately 80 nucleotides in length. Their secondary structure includes four short double-helical elements and three loops (D, anti-codon, and T loops). RNAcentral also lists the same sequence under 1 other name. Lineage: Eukaryota; Metazoa; Chordata; Mammalia; Artiodactyla; Camelidae. The record is from Rfam by way of RNAcentral.